UGCAUGAGAGUUGGCACCUUUUGAGUUACCCAGAAUUCCAGGAAAAAGGGGAAGCUGCAACAUUAGCACAAGGCAUUGUGUCGUGUAUCCAUCAAGACAUCCAACCACCAUUCAGCUCAACAAACCAAACCUUGGUUUAGCGUAACCGGAAAGGAAAAAAAAAGUAUGUAGUGUGGGUGCCCAGAAGGAAGACAGACAGUCCAUAAUGGAAGAACCAGGAGAAUGGACUUACCAGGAGCAGAGUCACUCCCUGGUGGUUAUAAAGACUGAAGAAUCAUACUCAAACCCAUGAGAUCCAGGAAGGAAAAUGAUUCUUAAUCUGAAGUUCAUUUCUCAACAUGUCAUUCACAAGGUCAGAGAGGUAUGGGAUCACAAAAAAGUAAAGGUCAUUUAGUCCAUGUAAAGCAGACAUGCUCUAA
Polypterus senegalus (gray bichir) is the source of this 419-nucleotide long non-coding RNA. RefSeq lists it as uncharacterized. The transcript has 3 exons. Lineage: Eukaryota; Metazoa; Chordata; Cladistia; Polypteriformes; Polypteridae. The record is from RefSeq and is a predicted model, not a curated record.